GAUGAAGAACGUAGCGAAAUGCGAUAAGUAAUGUGAAUUGCAGAAUUCAGUGAAUCAUCGAAUCUUUGAACGCACAUUGCGCCCGCCAGUAUUCUGGCGGGCAUGCCUGUUCGAGCGUCAUUUCAACCAUCAAGCCCUGCUUGCGUUGGGGUCCUGCGGCUGCGCGCAGGCCCUGAAAACCAGUGGCGGGCUCGCUAGUCACACCGAGCGCAGUAAUACAUCUCGCUUUGGGCGUGCGGCGGGUUCUUGCCGUUAAACACCCCCUUUUUACCAAGGUUGACCUCGGAUCAGGUAGGAAUACCCGCUGAACUUAAGCGUAUCAAUAAGCGGAGGA
Molecule: unclassified non-coding RNA, 334 nt
Filed under: soil metagenome
Description: partial contains 5.8S ribosomal RNA, internal transcribed spacer 2, and large subunit ribosomal RNA
Rfam family: 5.8S ribosomal RNA (bases 1-120)
Source: RNAcentral